Molecule: unclassified non-coding RNA, 354 nt
Filed under: soil metagenome
Description: partial contains 5.8S ribosomal RNA, internal transcribed spacer 2, and large subunit ribosomal RNA
Rfam family: 5.8S ribosomal RNA (bases 1-119)
Source: RNAcentral
GAUGAAGAACGCAGCGAAAUGCGAUAAGUAAUGCGAAUUGCAGAAUCCGUGAGUCAUCGAAUCUUUGAACACACAUUGCGCCCUUUGGUAUUCCGAAGGGCAUGCCUGUUCGAGCGUCAUUAUCACCACUCAAGCCCGGCUUGCUGUUGGUGGCAGCGCAGCCGGUCAACCGGCUACGCUCCACCCAAAGAUAAUGACGGCGUCUGCGAGGACUCCUGUACAUUGAGCUUUCGGGCACGUACAUGGCUAGAAGUCCAGGCGCCGGUCGACGUCCUCCGGGACACUUUUUACCAAGGUUGACCUCGGAUCAGGUAGGGAUACCCGCUGAACUUAAGCAUAUCAAUAAGCGGAGGA